This is a non-coding RNA of Arachis ipaensis, 1010 nucleotides long. The record is from RefSeq and is a predicted model, not a curated record. Lineage: Eukaryota; Viridiplantae; Streptophyta; Magnoliopsida; Fabales; Fabaceae.
AACUGCUCAUGCUUCUCUUUUUCAGCCAAUUGUCAGCCUCGCCUUUGCUGGAAAGUCUGAGUAUCUCUUGUUUGUUUCGCAUGGUUUAAAACCACAACUGUCUGUUUGGAGUAUGUCAAAGUUAGCUAUGGCUUGGUCAUACCGGCUUCAAAUAGAAGUGUAUCAUAAAUAUUUUUUUCAUCAAGAGACAUAACACUGAUGUAGAAAAUAAAUUCUACAUGCCUUAUUAUUACUUGUCCAUAUUUUAAAUGUAUCGGUACGUAUGAAUUUAUUAUCGUAUCGUAGCAAACACCUUUAAUUUUCUGUCUUUGUAGAAGAGUUUUGUAUAGAUAAUCAUUUAUGUUUUGUCAUACUAACAGAGAGAGGGGGGAAGAGAUAAUCCUAUAUGUCUUGGAUUAAUUUUAUGUGCUUAAUUAGAACACAUUUUGGCAAACUAUAUUAGGGAAAUUAACCAUUUUUCAAUCUGAUAUCAUAUUUGCAACCUGUCCUUGCCACAACUAUCAUCCAAAAAUCUAGAUAAUAAAAAGGAACAACCCAGUUGUUUAUAAAGUAAAAUACUAUAGCUCAAUAAAUAAUGCACAAGAACAAGAAUAAAUUCAAAAUGAAUAUUUUAAUAUUAUACAACAAUUGUACCAAAUACAUUGCUCUAAAAAUAAUUCUACAAAGGGAUGUCAAUUCCCUGGCAAAUUGCCAAGGGAAGAGAACCUAUCUGCCUAAUUUGCCUAUGGAAUAAAAAUAUACACAUUAUAUUAUGGCAUAUGCAUUCAUGAUCUUGUGCCCUAUAUCAAUCAUAUUGGAUAUUCCAAUUGGCCAAAGCAAUUAGGUCCUUCCUUCAUCCCUUGUAACUUCUUUUUCUUACAAUGAUCCAACCCUAUAAAUGCAUCAUUUAUAAUUCUUGCAUCUAUUUGCAUCAUUACAAUAAUCUACUAAUAUGCCCCAUUUUGUAUUUACAAAGAGGGAUCAGGAAAUUAAUAGUAAUGGCUAGCAUAAAAGAUAUGAUCAUGUAAAAC